CCCUUAGAUGUUCUGGGCCGCACGCGCGCUACACUGAUGCAUACAGCGAGUACUUCCCCGGCUCCGUGAGGCAGCCGGUAAUCAGCAAUAUGCGUCGUGAUGGGGAUAGAUCUUUGGAAUUCUGGAUCUUGAACGAGGAAUGCCUAGUAAGCGCAAGUCAUUAGCUUGCGCUGACUAAGUCCCUGCCCUUUGUACACCGCCCGUCGCUCCUACCGAUUGAACGGCUCAGUGAGGCCCUCGGACUGGCUCGGGGAGGCUGGAAACGGCCACCCCAGGCCGGGAAGUCGGACGAACUCGGUCGUUUAGAGGAAGUAAAAGUCGUAACA
RNAcentral lists this ribosomal RNA (326 nucleotides) under uncultured eukaryote. RNAcentral describes it as "partial 18S ribosomal RNA". It matches the Rfam family "Eukaryotic small subunit ribosomal RNA", at positions 1470 to 1796 of the family's 1831-position model. The record is from RNAcentral.